This 379-nucleotide ribosomal RNA is filed under the name uncultured bacterium. RNAcentral's name for it is "bacterial SSU rRNA". It matches the Rfam family "Bacterial small subunit ribosomal RNA", at positions 521 to 896 of the family's 1533-position model. The record is from RNAcentral.
UAAGACAGAGGAGCCAAGCGUUGUCCGGAUUGACUGGGCGUAAAGCGCACGCAGGUGGUUGCGGGCGUCGGUGCUGAAAGUUCGCCGCUUAACGGCGAAUCGUGUGCCGAUACGCCGCAACUCGAGCCCGUGAGAGGUCCGUGGAAUUGCCGGUGUAGUGGUGACAUGCGUAGAUAUCGGCAGGAACACCCAAGGGGAAGCCAGCGGACUGGCACGGUGCUGACACUGAGGUGCGAAAGCGUGGGGAGCGAACCGGAUUAGAUACCCGGGUAGUCCACGCCGUAAACGAUGAAUACUCGCCCUAUGAUGGUGUUAAAGCCGUUGUGGGGUCAAGCUAACGCGAUAAGUAUUCCGCCUGGGAACUACGAGCGCAAGCUUA